AAAAAAAAUUCUAUCUUUUUGCUCAUAAGUGUGAUAAAUGGUUGAGAUAUACUGGUCACCUUCCCAAAUAAUAAGCUCUCUUGAAGUGAAAACACAUGUAGUGUGGGGUUAUUGGUUUAUGUCCAUUUCUACAAUAUUGUCAAUCUCAUCAAUCAAUCAAUCAAUCAUUUUGGGAAUUAGAAUUAUGUUAUCAUUGAUGUCAAGGAUCAAAACGACAGCCUCGGAGUAACUGAUAAAGUUGAUGUCAUAAGAUCAAGAAAUCACGGGGUUGAAUUAUGUUAUCAUUGAUGUCAAAGAUCAAAACGAGAGCCUCAGAGUAACUGAUAAAGUUGUUGUCAUGAGACCAAGAAAUCACGGGGUUAAACCUUGGAAACAGCCCCUAGCAAAAAUACAAGAUAAGAUUGUGUACAAUACAUUCUUGUAGUGAGGUCAUUCCCCGAAUCUUGCGCAUAGCGAAAGCUUUAGUGCACUAAUUUUUUUUUAUUUUUUAUUUUUUAUUUUUGAUAUCAAGGAUCAAAACAAAAUGGAUCCUAGGUGAGUCCAAUUCUUGAUUUAUUCAUUUACUUUCAUCAAAAUCUUUUCUUUCUCUAAGGUCACAUGCAUGGUCACUAACUUUUAUAUAUAUUACCCAAAGUUGGAUAAAAAACAAAGCAUCCAUUUCUUCCCACUAUACCUUAUAACUCAAUAUAGAAACUAUGUCCAUUUUGUUAUUAAGAAUAAUAAUUAAUAAAGUACUAUCUCUCUAUAUACUCUAUUUCCCACUCCCAAUAAUUUAUUCUCAUUCUUUCUACUUUAAUUCACAUUCUUCUUUUUUUGUUUUCAUUGUCUUUUGGUGAGUGCAGGGAGUUUCGAGUAGCGAGUAAAGUUCUUGUUACUUAUCAAUAUGAGUUGUGGUACAAUAGAUGGGGUUGUUCCACCUUUAAUAAAAGAUCGAGAGUUCAAUCCUGGAUAUGGAGAAAACUCUAUUGGGAGAGCUGUCACCUUAAUGGGUCUUGCAAUGUGCGAUCUGAAUUAGUCGGAACUACAAUGCGGACACCAAACAUCGGCUGGAAAAUCAAAAAAAAUAAAUAAAAAAAAUCUUGUCACGUAAUCUGAAGGUCAUAG
This 1104-nucleotide long non-coding RNA is filed under the name Capsicum annuum. RNAcentral describes it as "long non-coding RNA (CANN_LNC018235)". Lineage: Eukaryota; Viridiplantae; Streptophyta; Magnoliopsida; Solanales; Solanaceae. The record is from RNAcentral.